GGAGCUCAUAAGCAACUCUUCACAUUUUCUUCACAUUUUGAUAUAGACAACACUCUGUUAAGCCUGUUUAAAGUAUUUUAUGAUGAUAUAUCUUCUGGUGAAUCUUCUUUAUCCAAUGUGCCCAUUUCUCCACAGAAAGGAGGUCUGUGGGAGGAGAGGCCUUUGGCUGGCAGCACUGGGAAUCUAGCACCUAUGCUGAUCACUUGGGGAAAGAAAGAUGCUACCACCACCAGAAGAGCUACAGAAUCCUCCUACCUCUCUCAAGUGUGCCUCUCCCCAGUGCCAUGGGGAGGCCAUGCCUUGAAAUAGCGUGAGAGCCAAAACCCACAUUUUCAGAAAAAAAAAAGGAACAAAUAAAUUAAGCUUCUGCCACCCACCUCCCUUCUGUGCAGCUCAGGAAAACCAAGUGAAAUAAACAAGCACAUUAGAGGCUGGUACGUGAGCG
This 445-nucleotide long non-coding RNA is filed under the name Capra hircus (goat). Its description in RNAcentral is "lncRNA (ENSCHIG00000007825.1)". Lineage: Eukaryota; Metazoa; Chordata; Mammalia; Artiodactyla; Bovidae. The record is from RNAcentral.